RNAcentral lists this transfer RNA (86 nucleotides) under Armatimonadota bacterium. RNAcentral's name for it is "Armatimonadetes bacterium (groundwater metagenome) tRNA-Leu". It matches the Rfam family "tRNA". Rfam says of the family: Transfer RNA (tRNA) molecules are approximately 80 nucleotides in length. The record is from RNAcentral. Lineage: Bacteria; Bacillati; Armatimonadota.
GCCGGGGUGGUGGAAUGGCAGACACAGGGGACUUAAAAUCCUCUGGCCGAAAGGCCGUGCGGGUUCAAAUCCCGCCCCCGGCACCA